RNAcentral lists this ribosomal RNA (465 nucleotides) under uncultured bacterium. RNAcentral describes it as "partial 16S ribosomal RNA". It matches the Rfam family "Bacterial small subunit ribosomal RNA", at positions 338 to 795 of the family's 1533-position model. The record is from RNAcentral. RNAcentral also lists the same sequence under 1 other name.
CCUACGGGAGGCAGCAGUGGGGAAUAUUGCACAAUGGGCGCAAGCCUGAUGCAGCCAUGCCGCGUGUAUGAAGAAGGCCUUCGGGUUGUAAAGUACUUUCAGCGGGGAGGAAGGGAGUAAAGUUAAUACCUUUGCUCAUUGACGUUACCCGCAGAAGAAGCACCGGCUAACUCCGUGCCAGCAGCCGCGGUAAUACGGAGGGUGCAAGCGUUAAUCGGAAUUACUGGGCGUAAAGCGCACGCAGGCGGUUUGUUAAGUCAGAUGUGAAAUCCCCGGGCUCAACCUGGGAACUGCAUCUGAUACUGGCAAGCUUGAGUCUCGUAGAGGGGGGUAGAAUUCCAGGUGUAGCGGUGAAAUGCGUAGAGAUCUGGAGGAAUACCGGUGGCGAAGGCGGCCCCCUGGACGAAGACUGACGCUCAGGUGCGAAAGCGUGGGGAGCAAACAGGAUUAGAUACCCCAGUAGUC